AUACGGAGGAUGCGAGCGUUAUCCGGAUUUAUUGGGUUUAAAGGGAGCGUAGGUGGGAUAUUAAGUCAGCUGUGAAAGUUUGGGGCUCAACCUUAAAAUUGCAGUCGAUACUGGUUUCCUUGAGUACGGUACAGGUGGGCGGAAUUCGUGGUGUAGCGGUGAAAUGCUUAGAUAUCACGAAGAACUCCGAUUGCGAAGGCAGCUCACUGGACUGCAACUGACACUGAUGCUCGAAAGUGUGGGUAUCAAACAGGAUUAGAUACCCUGGUAGUCCACACAGUAAACGAUGAAUACUCGCUGUUUGCGAUAUACAGUAAGCGGCCAAGCGAAAGCAUUAAGUAUUCCACCUGGGGAGUACGCCGGCAACGGUGAAACUCAAAUGAAUUGACGGGG
RNAcentral lists this ribosomal RNA (393 nucleotides) under uncultured bacterium. RNAcentral's name for it is "partial 16S ribosomal RNA". It matches the Rfam family "Bacterial small subunit ribosomal RNA", at positions 523 to 918 of the family's 1533-position model. The record is from RNAcentral.